This 588-nucleotide ribosomal RNA is filed under the name Globigerinita glutinata. RNAcentral describes it as "SSU rRNA". It matches the Rfam family "Eukaryotic small subunit ribosomal RNA", at positions 1313 to 1685 of the family's 1831-position model. Lineage: Eukaryota; Foraminifera; Rotaliida; Globigerinitidae. The record is from RNAcentral.
UUUCGCGCUCGCACGCUUUUUACAUUAGGUCCUGAAAGCAACGAACGUGACCGCAACCUCUUGUUGCCUCAUCUCCNUACUUUUUUAGCACUUNGNUGUUGAAUAAUUUCAUUGAGGCUUUCCAAAACUAGAGGGACCGCUGUCAACUUCUUAAACCAGAGGAAGGUUGCGGCAAUAACAGGUCUGUGAUGCCCUUAGAUGUUCCGGGCUGCACACGUGCUACAAUGAUUGUUGCAGUGAGCAUCUCAAUUUUUUACCUUAACACCGCACACGUGAGUAGCAUACUUGUAUGUUUACUUUACGCAGCGGUAAAGCNUGCUUCGAGAGCAAGUGGGUAAUCAAUUAGAAGUAACGAUUUCCCAAAUUAGCACACUUAUAUGCGGCGUUUGCGCCCGGGUGCCACUUGUUGGUACUUCUGUGCGUGCAGAUGUUUUUUUCCGCAUGUGCAAUUGUCAAUUCAUGGUGGGGACAGACCAUUGUUAAUUGUUGGUCUCGGUCUUAANUAGGAAUGCNUUGUACGGGUCUUUGGUUCAACAAACCACCCGGAAUACGUCCCUGCCCUUUGUACACACCGCCCGUCGCUCUUAC